RNAcentral lists this ribosomal RNA (381 nucleotides) under uncultured bacterium. RNAcentral's name for it is "bacterial SSU rRNA". It matches the Rfam family "Bacterial small subunit ribosomal RNA", at positions 42 to 422 of the family's 1533-position model. The record is from RNAcentral.
GCAGGCUUAAUACAUGCAAGUCGAACGGUAACAGGCCUUCGGGUGCUGACGAGUGGCGGAUGGGUGAGUAACGCGUAUGCAACCUACCUCGUGUCGAGAAAAAGUCGACUGAAAAGUCGAUUAAAGUUUCGUAGUGUACAGGCUACGCAUGUAGCUUGUAUGAUAGGCGCAAGUUGGCGCGAGAUGGGCAUGCGUAUCAUUAGCUAGUUGGUAGGGUAACGGCCUACCAAGGCGACGAUGAUUAGGGGUCCUGAGAGGGAGGUCCCCCACACUGGGACUGAGACACGGCCCAGACUCCUACGGGAGGCAGCAGUAGGGAAUAUUGGUCAAUGGGCGGAAGCCUGAACCAGCCAUGCCGCGUGAUGGACGACGGCCUUCGGG